Molecule: long non-coding RNA, 311 nt
Organism: Oncorhynchus kisutch (coho salmon)
Lineage: Eukaryota; Metazoa; Chordata; Actinopteri; Salmoniformes; Salmonidae
Exons: 3
Source: RefSeq, a predicted model, not a curated record
CAGGUUAGAGAGACACAGUAUGAGAAGUUGAGGCAGGGCAGAUGUAACACUAUGGAUUACAUUUAGUGAAAAUCCCACAAAUCAAGGAAAUCAUACACAACAGUGGAGGCUUCUCAGAGGAGGAAGGGAAGGACCAUCCUACUCAGUGAAUUUCAGAAAAAUGUAAAGAGUCAAAUCCUGUCCUGCCCUCAGUGGAAGAGUUGAGCUCUGCUCCAACACCAUCCAUCCAUCCAUCCAUGAUGAGCCUGUCCUGCACUGAAGCCUAUGAACACCUCAACCCCUGUCCUACACUGAAUUCAAGUCUCUGAACA